GCGCUUCUAGAUUGGAAUGGUCAUCAGAGAGUGAUUCAUAUGGACUGGAGUCCAAAUCUGUAGGAGCAACUUCCAUUUGUUCUACUUCCUUUUGUUCCUCUGAUUCAGGACAAUAUUCUGGAAAAGCUCCCUUAUUUAAGUCCAAUCCUUUCUGAUGUGCACCCUCAUUAAAGUCCAACCCUUUCUGAUGUGCACCCUCAUUUCCAGUAUCAGAUUCUUGAAUAUAUGAAAGAUUGCUGGAUGGAGAGCAAACCAAGUCUGAAGAGAGGACAUUAGCAACAUUAACACCAUCAUCAGCACCAGUGGUGACAGUAACACUAACAGGAGAUGCACCUACAUCUUCCUUUAAGUUUACGUGCUCAUCAAGAAUUUGUUUAUCUGAAAAAUUCACUGGAUGCUCAAAAGGGACAGAAUCUUCUCCCACAUCCAACUUGCUAGCACAUCUACCUAUUUCCUCACCACCAUCAGCUGCAGAAGUUUCUUCAAGACUCGUCUCUUCAGAAUGUGUUGCUCCUACUUCAGUCAAUUCACG
RNAcentral lists this unclassified non-coding RNA (532 nucleotides) under Hevea brasiliensis (rubber tree). Lineage: Eukaryota; Viridiplantae; Streptophyta; Magnoliopsida; Malpighiales; Euphorbiaceae. The record is from RNAcentral.